RNAcentral lists this ribosomal RNA (220 nucleotides) under uncultured bacterium. RNAcentral describes it as "partial 16S ribosomal RNA". It matches the Rfam family "Bacterial small subunit ribosomal RNA", at positions 114 to 334 of the family's 1533-position model. The record is from RNAcentral.
CGCGUGGGUAACCUGCCUCAUACAGGGGAAUAGCAGCUGGAAACGGCUGAUGAAACCGCAUAAGCGCACAGUGCCGCAUGGCACAGUGUGAAAAACUCCGGUGGUAUGAGAUGGACCCGCGUCUGAUUAGCUGGUUGGCGGGGUAACGGCCCACCAAGGCGACGAUCAGUAGCCGGCCUGAGAGGGUGAUCGGCCACAUUGGGACUGAGACACGGCCCAA